UACGUAGGGUGCAAGCGUUGUCCGGAUUUAUUGGGCGUAAAGAGCGUGUAGGCGGCUUCACAGGUCCGCUGUGAAAACUCGAGGCUCAACCUCGAGCUGUCGGUGGAAACCGUGUGGCUAGAGUCCGGAAGAGGAGAGUGGAAUUCCCGGUGUAGCGGUGAAAUGCGCAGAUAUCGGGAAGAACACCUGUGGCGAAGGCGGCUCUCUGGGACGGUACUGACGCUGAGACGCGAAAGCGUGGGGAGCGAACAGG
Molecule: ribosomal RNA, 253 nt
Filed under: uncultured bacterium
Lineage: Bacteria
Description: partial 16S ribosomal RNA
Rfam family: Bacterial small subunit ribosomal RNA
Source: RNAcentral